UCAUAGCCCCAAAUACAAGGAGCACU
Molecule: unclassified non-coding RNA, 26 nt
Filed under: Mus musculus (house mouse)
Lineage: Eukaryota; Metazoa; Chordata; Mammalia; Rodentia; Muridae
Description: oocyte_clustered_small_RNA12966
Source: RNAcentral